Molecule: ribosomal RNA, 116 nt
Filed under: Aliarcobacter butzleri
Lineage: Bacteria; Pseudomonadati; Campylobacterota; Epsilonproteobacteria; Campylobacterales; Arcobacteraceae
Source: RNAcentral
AUAUGUGUCUAAAGAGAAAUGGAAAUACCCAGUUCCAUUCCGAACCUGGAAGUCAAGCAUUUCAUCACUGAUAAUACUGCAUCUUUCAGAUGUGGAAAUGUAAGUCGGUGCAUAUU